CACACAACAGAAUAUAGCCGCAUUGCUGAUGGGUCUUGAAUAUCUAAUAAACAUCUCAUAUAUGGAUGACACUGAAGUUUUUAAGAUCAUGAGGGAGAUAAUAUUUGUCACACCUUGAGCAUUGGAACAACUUAAACACCUUAUGCUGGGCAAUAGGGUCCAUAUCUGGUUCCAUGAUGGAAGAACAAGAUGGGGAAACAUUGGACAAUGAGUUGGAGGUUGUUGAGGGAAUGAAGCUAGACAGGGGUUACAUAUCCCCUUAUUUCAUCACCAACCAGAACAAUCAGAAAUGUGAAUUGGAAAAUCCUCUAAUCAUAAUCCACGAGAAGAAAAUCUCAAGUAUUAAUGUUGUGGUUAAAGUAUUGGAGUUGGUUUUGCAG
Non-coding RNA from Prunus mume (Japanese apricot), 380 nucleotides. NCBI's taxonomy places the organism in Eukaryota, Viridiplantae, Streptophyta, Magnoliopsida, Rosales, Rosaceae. The record is from RefSeq and is a predicted model, not a curated record.